GGAUUUGGAUUAGAGUGUGGCUAGGGUUUGGUUUCGGAUUUGGAUUAGGAUUUGGAUUAGGGUUGGAUUAGGGUUUGGAUUAGGUUUUGAAUUACGGAUUGGGAUUCGGUUUAGGAUUUGAUUUAGGAUUUGGUUUAGGAUUUAGGAUUUGAAAUAGGGUUUAAUUUAAGAUUUAUUUGGGAUUUGACUUAGAGUUUAGGAAUUAUUAGGAUUUAAGAUUUAAUUCGGUUGGUCUAAAGUUGAGUAAAAU
RNAcentral lists this long non-coding RNA (250 nucleotides) under Physcomitrium patens. RNAcentral describes it as "long non-coding RNA (PPAT_LNC014348)". The record is from RNAcentral. Lineage: Eukaryota; Viridiplantae; Streptophyta; Bryopsida; Funariales; Funariaceae.